CAACCAUCAAGCCCCGGGCUUGCGUUGGGGCCCUGCGGAGACGCAGGCCCCUAAAAGCAGUGGCGGGCUCGCUGUCAUCCCGAGCGUAGUAUUGUAUCUUCGCUUUGGGCGUGGCAGCGGGUUCCAGCCGUGAAACCACCUAUUUUUCAA
Molecule: unclassified non-coding RNA, 150 nt
Filed under: uncultured Sordariales
Lineage: Eukaryota; Fungi; Ascomycota; Sordariomycetes; Sordariales
Description: sequence contains ITS2
Source: RNAcentral